ACUCCUACGGGAGGCAGCAGUGGGGAAUAUUGCACAAUGGGGGAAACCCUGAUGCAGCCAUGCCGCGUGUGUGAAGAAGGCCUUCGGGUUGUAAAGCACUUUCAGUGCGAGGAAAGGUUGAUGGUUAAUACCUAUCAGCUGUGACUGUUACCCACAGAAGAAGCACCGGCUAACUCCGUGCCAGCAGCCGCGGUAAUACGGAGGGUGCAAGCGUUAAUCGGAAUUACUGGGCGUAAAGCGUGCGCAGGCGGUCUGUUAAGCGAGAUGUGAAAGCCCCGGGCUCAACCUGGAACUGCAUUUCGAACUGGCAGACUAGAGUCUUGUAGAGGGGGGUAGAAUUCCAGGUGUAGCGGUGAAAUGCGUAGAGAUCUGGAGGAAUACCGGUGGCGAAGGCGGCCCCUGGACAAAGACUGACGCUCAGGCACGAAAGCGUGGGGAGCAAACAGGAUUAGAU
RNAcentral lists this ribosomal RNA (454 nucleotides) under uncultured bacterium. RNAcentral describes it as "bacterial SSU rRNA". It matches the Rfam family "Bacterial small subunit ribosomal RNA", at positions 335 to 783 of the family's 1533-position model. The record is from RNAcentral.